RNAcentral lists this ribosomal RNA (474 nucleotides) under uncultured bacterium. RNAcentral describes it as "bacterial SSU rRNA". It matches the Rfam family "Bacterial small subunit ribosomal RNA", at positions 25 to 518 of the family's 1533-position model. The record is from RNAcentral.
CAGGACGAACGCUGGCGGCGUGCUUCAUACAUGCAAGUCGAACGAGAAGCUGACUUCGGUCAGUGGAAAGUGGCGGACGGGUGAGUAAUAUGUAGAGAAUCUGCCCUUGAGUGGGGGACAACAGAGGGAAACUUCUGCUAAUACCCCAUAUGAGCUAACUUGAAAUAGUUAUCUUGAAAACUCCGGUGCUCAAGGAUGAGUCUGCAUCUGAUUAGCUAGUUGGCGGUGUAAUGGACCACCAAGGCGACGAUCAGUAGCUGGUUUGAGAGGAUGAUCAGCCACAAUGGGACUGAGACACGGCCCAUACUCCUACGGGAGGCAGCAGUAGGGAAUUUUGCGCAAUGGGCGAAAAAGCCUGACGCAGCAACGCCGCGUGAACGAUUAAGCCCUUCGGGGUGUAAAGUUCUGUCAGUAGGGACGAAUUUUGACGGUACCUACAGAGGAAGCACCGGCUAACUCCGUGCCAGCCGCGGC